UACGAAGGGGGCUAGCGUUGCUCGGAUUUACUGGGCGUAAAGGGCGCGUAGGCGGCAAUUCAAGUCAUCUGUGAAAUCUCCGGGCUUAACCCGGAACGGUCAGAUGAUACUGCUUUGCUAGAGUGCGGAAGGGGCAAUCGGAAUUCUCGGUGUAGCGGUGAAAUGCGUAGAUAUCGAGAGGAACACCAGAGGUGAAGACGGGUUGCUGGGCCGACACUGACGCUGAUAGCGCGAAAGCCAGGGGAGCAAACGGG
RNAcentral lists this ribosomal RNA (254 nucleotides) under uncultured bacterium. Its description in RNAcentral is "partial 16S ribosomal RNA". It matches the Rfam family "Bacterial small subunit ribosomal RNA", at positions 524 to 776 of the family's 1533-position model. The record is from RNAcentral.